RNAcentral lists this ribosomal RNA (465 nucleotides) under uncultured bacterium. RNAcentral's name for it is "bacterial SSU rRNA". It matches the Rfam family "Bacterial small subunit ribosomal RNA", at positions 338 to 795 of the family's 1533-position model. The record is from RNAcentral.
CCUACGGGCUGCACCAGUGGGGAAUAUUGCACAAUGGGCGCAAGCCUGAUGCAGCCAUGCCGCGUGUGUGAAGAAGGCCUUCGGGUCGUAAAGCACUUUCAGCGGGGAGGAAGGCGCCAAGGUUAAUAACCUUGGCGAUUGACGUUACCCGCAGAAGAAGCGCCGGCUAACUCCGUGCCAGCAGCCGCGGUAAUACGGAGGGUGCAAGCGUUAAUCGGAAUUACUGGGCGUAAAGCGCACGCAGGCGGUCUGUCAAGUCGGAUGUGAAAUCCACGGGCUCAACCUGGGAACUGCAUUCGAAACUGGCAGGCUAGAGUCUUGUAGAGGGGGGUAGAAUUCCAGGUGUAGCGGUGAAAUGCGUAGAGAUCUGGAGGAAUACCGGUGGCGAAGGCGGCCCCCUGGACAAAGACUGACGCUCAGGUGCGAAAGCGUGGAGAGCAAACAGGAUUAGAUACCCCCGUAGUC